ACGGAAGGCAGCAGUGGGGAAUAUUGGGCAAUGGGGGAAACCCUGACCCAGCAACGCCGCGUGAAGGAAGAAGGCCUUCGGGUUGUAAACUUCUUUUACCAGGGACGAUAAUGACGGUACCUGGAGAAAAAGCAACGGCUAACUACGUGCCAGCAGCCGCGGUAAUACGUAGGUUGCAAGCGUUGUCCGGAUUUACUGGGUGUAAAGGGCGUGUAGGUGGAGCUGCAAGUCAGAUGUGAAAUCCCGGGGCUCAACCCCGGAACUGCAUUUGAAACUGUAGCCCUUGAGUAUCGGAGAGGCAAGCGGAAUUCCUAGUGUAGCGGUGAAAUGCGUAGAUAUUAGGAGGAACACCAGUGGCGAAGGCGGCUUGUUGGACGACAACUGACGCUGAGGCGCGAAAGCGUGGGGAGCAAACAGGAUUAGAUACCCUGGUA
Molecule: ribosomal RNA, 434 nt
Filed under: uncultured Oscillospiraceae bacterium
Lineage: Bacteria; Bacillati; Bacillota; Clostridia; Eubacteriales; Oscillospiraceae
Description: bacterial SSU rRNA
Rfam family: Bacterial small subunit ribosomal RNA
Source: RNAcentral